Centropristis striata (black sea bass) is the source of this 979-nucleotide non-coding RNA. The record is from the annotation of a RefSeq genome assembly. NCBI's taxonomy places the organism in Eukaryota, Metazoa, Chordata, Actinopteri, Perciformes, Serranidae.
AUGACUUUUGUAUCACUGUGGUUGACUUUUGGUGGAGGAACCAGACUGGAUGUUGGAAGUGAUGCCCGUCCCACCCUGACGGUGCUGCCCCCCUCCACUGAGCAGCUGCAGCAGGGGAAGGCCACGCUCAUGUGCCUGGCCAACAAGGGCUUCCCCUCAGACUGGAGUCUGGCCUGGAAGGUGGACGGCAGCAGCAGCAGCAGCAGCAGCAGCAUCAGCUGGGAGCAGAGCAGCAGCCCCGGGGUGCUGGAGAAGGACGGCCACUACAGCUGGAGCAGCACCCUGAGGCUCUCUGCAGACCAGUGGAGGAAGGUGGGCUCUGUGACCUGUGAGGCCACCCAGGGCUCCCAGACUCCGCUCUCAGAGAGUCUGAGCAGAGACCAGUGUCCCCAGUCCUGAUCUGACUCACUGGUUCUACUCUGCUACUGCUCUCAGUCUGCACUCUUUCUCUGUUUCUCUUAUGAUGUUUCAACAUUAACUUGUUCUUGCUUGUGUUGUUAGUUUUAACAUUUUCAAACAAUAAAGAAUUCCAUCGUAGAUUAUAAAAGUGACGGGUCUCUUGAAUUCCUUUCUUUUACAUGUGUUAUAUAUUAGGAGCAUGAAUCAGGUUAAAGUGCCAAACUGGCAAUCAUCAAGUACAUUUUUUCUAGAUACAUUUUUUAUUGUUUUAAGACUGUAGACAUGGUGCAGCUAUUUCAGUUAAUAUAAAUCACAAAGCUAUCAAAUUUAACUAAUUUAUGCUCUUGAAGGUCCAUUUGUUAAGUUAAUAUGUCAUUAAAUUUGCAUUUUCACCCAAAAUCAUACAUCAUUUGUAAUCCUAUGUUCCUAAUAUCAAUGGUGCCCUGUUGAGAGGUAUCCAUACACAUAUUUUGGGACAUCCUAAAAUCCAUACAUAUUGGUGCCCCGUGUGAGGCAUUGUACAGUCGGCAAUAGUUCUGCACUUUGUAACUCUCUCUUCGUUCUUGCUUAUGUUGACGUU